GCACGCGUAUAGCUAGCUUGGGGCGCGAGAGCUGCGGCGGCGGCGUCCGCCUCCUGAGCGAGCGGGGUGUCUGAGAAGAGGGAAGCAGGGACUCACGGAAGGGGAAGAGAAGCUGGAAUGUCAAACAUCGAAAAGUAGCAACUGUGUAGGAAGUGUUUUCCUCCUAAGCUUCGGAUUCUAUGUCUCCUACCUCUCCAAGUCUACUGGUUUAUGCAGAUAAUGUUCCUGUCACCACGGCUGGAUGAUGGCAGCUGUAACCCAUUGACCUUUCUAAGCAAACAUGCUAGAAUGCUUGAAGAACCACAACUGCCACUUUCAGGACAGCAGCACACUCUGGAUAGCUAAAGCUUUGACUUCUUUUCUAAGCUCAACGAAUGCAAGGCCUCUGGGCAAAGGCGGCAGCAGCAGCCAGGCAAGGAGAGAAAGGAGAAGGAGAGGAUGAAGAAGAGGCGGGGAGCACCAGCUAUUUGGCUGUCACAACUGCAACUUAUUUUUUUUAUUUAACAUUGUUUUUAAUUUUUAAAUGACCCACAUAUUAGUCAUAGUUGCUUUCAUUUAUAUCCUAAUCAUUACUUUCAUUAUUUGAAGAUUCAUUUUUUUAAUUUGUUUUUUAUUAAAGUAUAAUUGAUUUACAAUGUUGUGCCAAUUUCUGACUCAGUGUCACUGCUAUAUUAUACAUUCUUUUUUUAGAUUCUUUUCAAUUGUGGUCUAUCCCAGCAGAUUGGAUAUAGUUCUGUGUUAUACAGUAGGAUCUUGUUGUUUAUCCAUUCUAAAUGUAAUAGUUUGCAUCUACUAACCCCAAACCCCUAGUCUAUUCCACUCACUUGCCCCUCUCCCCUGGCAACCACAAGUGUGUUCCCUGUGCCUUUGAGUCUGUCUCUGUUCUGUAGAUAGGUUCAUUUGUGCCAUAUUUUAGAUUCAUAUUUUAGAUAAAUGAUAUCAUAUGGUAUUUGUCCUUCUCUUUCAGACUUAGUUCACUUUGUAUAAUAAUCUCUAAUUGCAUCUAUGUUGUUGCAAAUAGCAUUGUUUCAUUCUUUUUUGUGGCUGAGUAGUAUUCCAUUGUAUAUAUGUACCACAUCUUCUUAAUCCAUUCAUCUGUCUAUGGACAUUUAGGUUGGUUCCAUGUCUUGGCUAUUGUAGUAGUGCUGCUGUGGAUAUAGGAAUGCAAGUAUCUUUUUAAAUUAUAGUUUUGUCCAGAUAUAUGCCCAGAAGUGGGCUAGAUCAUAUGGUAAUUCUAUUUUUAGUUUUCUGAGGAAUCUCCAUACUGUUUUCCAUAGUAGGCGUACCAACUUCUUUUCUCAUCAACAGUGCAGGAUAGUUCCCUUUCUCUACACCCCCUCCAGCAUUUGUUAUUUAUAGAUUUAUUAAUGAUGACCGUUCUGACUGGUGUGAGGAGAUACCUCACUGUAGUUUUAAUUUGCAUUUCUCUAAUAAUUAGUGAUGUUGAGCCUCUGUUCAUGUUCCUACCAGCCAUCCAUUUGUCUUUGGAGAAAUGUCUGUUUAGGUCCUCUGCCCAUUUUCAGUUGGGUUGUUUGGUUUUUGGUUUUUGAGUUAUUUGCAUAUUUUGGAGAUUAAGCCCUUGUUGGUUGCAUCAUUUGCAAAUAUUUCUUCUGUAUGUUUUUUCCUUUGCUAUGCAAAAGCUUGUAAAUUUUAGUGGGUCCCAUUUGUUUAUUUUUGUUUUUAUUUCUGUUGCCUUAGGAGACUGACCUAAGAAAGCAUUUGCACAGUUUAUGUCAGAGAAUGUUUUGCCUUUGUUCUCUUCUAGGGGUUUUAUGGUGUCAUACCUUAUGUUUAAGUCUUUGAGCCAUUUUGAGUUUGUUUUUUGUGCAUGGUGUGAGGAGGGUGUGUUCUAACUUCAUUUAUUUACAGGCAGUUCAGUUUUACCAGCAACACUUGCUGAAGAGACUGUCUUUUUCCCAUUUUAUAUUUUUGCCUCUUUUGUUGAAUUGACCAUUGUUGACCAUUAAUUGACCAUUGUUGUUGGCUUUAUUUCUGGACUUUCCAUUCUGUUCCAUUGAUCUAUAUGUCUGUUUUGUGCCAGUACUACACUGUUUUGAUUACUGUAGCUUUGUAGUAUUGUCUGAAGUCUGGGAGAUUUAUGCCUCCUGCUUUGUUCUUUUUCCUGAGGAUUGCUUUUGCAAUUCUGGGUCUUUUAUGGUUCCAUAUAUAUUUUUGGAUUAUCUGUUCUGGUUCUGUGAAAAAUGUCAUGGGUAAUUUGAUAGGGAUCACCUUAAAUCUAUAGAUUGCUUUAUAGUAUGUAUAUUUUAACUAUUAAUUCUUGUAAUCCAAGAGCAUGGGAUAUCCUUCCAUUUCUUUGAAUCCUUUUUAAUUUCCUUUAUUAAUGUAUUAUAGUUCUCAGUGUAUAAGUCUUUCACCUCUAUACUCAGGUUUAUUAUUAGAUAUUUUAUUUUGUUGUGAUUUUAAAAGCCAUUAUUUUUUAUUUUACAUUCUCUUUAAUCAGAAAUAAAAUUUCUGAUAUUUCAUUGUUAGUAUACAGAAAUGCAACCAAUUUCUGAAUGUUAAUCUUGUAUCCUGCUGUUCCUUUGUUGAAUUUUUCAGAUCUAAGAGUUUUUGUGUGGAGUCCUUAGGGUUUUCUGUAUAUAGUAUCAUGUCAUCUGCAUAUAGUGACAAUUUUACCUCUUCCCUUCCAAUUUGGAUAUCUUUCAUUUCUUUCUCUUGUCUAACUUCUAUAGCCAGGACUUCUAAUACUAUGUUUAAUAAAAGUGGUGACAGUGGGCAUCCUUGAGAACACAGCUUAUUUGUGAAUGCACAGGAAAUAUUCACCAAGAUACAUCAUAUGUUUAGCCAUAAAAGAAGUUCCAAUAAAUGUAAAAUAAUCAAAGUCA
Molecule: long non-coding RNA, 2846 nt
Filed under: Sus scrofa (pig)
Lineage: Eukaryota; Metazoa; Chordata; Mammalia; Artiodactyla; Suidae
Description: lncRNA (ENSSSCG00050000809.1)
Source: RNAcentral